RNAcentral lists this unclassified non-coding RNA (180 nucleotides) under uncultured fungus. RNAcentral describes it as "sequence contains ITS1". The record is from RNAcentral. Lineage: Eukaryota; Fungi.
UUGAUUUAUUUAUGGUUUUACUCAGAAGUUACAUAUAGAAACAGAGUUUAGGGGUCCUCUGGCGGGCCGUCCCGUUUUACCGGGAGCGGGCUGAUCCGCCGAGGCAACAAGUGGUAUGUUCACAGGGGUUUGGGAGUUGUAAACUCGGUAAUGAUCCCUCCGCUGGUUCACCAACGGAGA